Molecule: ribosomal RNA, 557 nt
Filed under: uncultured bacterium
Lineage: Bacteria
Description: partial 16S ribosomal RNA
Rfam family: Bacterial small subunit ribosomal RNA
Source: RNAcentral
UGGGGAAUUUUGGACAAUGGGCGAAAGCCUGAUCCAGCAAUGCCGCGUGUGUGAAGAAGGCCUUCGGGUUGUAAAGCACUUUUGUCCGGAAAGAAAUGGCUCUGGUUAAUACCUGGGGUCGAUGACGGUACCGGAAGAAUAAGGACCGGCUAACUACGUGCCAGCAGCCGCGGUAAUACGUAGGGUCCAAGCGUUAAUCGGAAUUACUGGGCGUAAAGCGUGCGCAGGCGGUUGUGCAAGACCGAUGUGAAAUCCCCGAGCUUAACUUGGGAAUUGCAUUGGUGACUGCACGGCUAGAGUGUGUCAGAGGGGGGUAGAAUUCCACGUGUAGCAGUGAAAUGCGUAGAGAUGUGGAGGAAUACCGAUGGCGAAGGCAGCCCCCUGGGAUAACACUGACGCUCAUGCACGAAAGCGUGGGGAGCAAACAGGAUUAGAUACCCUGGUAGUCCACGCCCUAAACGAUGUCAACUAGUUGUUGGGGAUUCAUUUCCUUAGUACGUAGCUAACGCGUGAAGUUGACCGCCUGGGGAGUACGGUCGCAAGAUUAAAAGCUUAAA